This 403-nucleotide ribosomal RNA is filed under the name uncultured bacterium. Its description in RNAcentral is "partial 16S ribosomal RNA". It matches the Rfam family "Bacterial small subunit ribosomal RNA", at positions 28 to 526 of the family's 1533-position model. The record is from RNAcentral.
GACGAACGCUGGCGGCGUGCCUAAUACAUGCCAGUCGAACGCAGUGGGGACGGGUGAGUAACACGUGGGUAACCUCCCAUCAGAGGGGAUAACACUUGGAAACAGGUGCUAAACCGAUACUGAUGGAUGGACCCGCGGUGCAUUAGCUAGUUGGUGAGGUAACGGCUCACCAAGGCCACGAUGCAUCGCCGGACUGAGAGGGGGAUAGGCCAACCUGGGACGGAGACACGGGCCAGACUCCCACGGGAGGCAGCAGUAGGGAAGCUUCGGCAAUGGACGGAAGGCGGACCAAGCAACGCCGCGGGAGUGAAGAAGGUUUUCGGAGCGUAAAGCUCUGUGGUUAGAGAAGCGGUAACUAACCAGAAAGGGACGGCUAACUACGUGCCAGCCGCCGCGGUAAUAC